UAUAGCUUGAUGGUAGAGCAUUUGCCUAGUAUGCAAGAGACCCUAGGUUCAAUUCCCCGUA
RNAcentral lists this transfer RNA (61 nucleotides) under Neotoma lepida (desert woodrat). It matches the Rfam family "tRNA", at positions 6 to 65 of the family's 71-position model. Rfam says of the family: Transfer RNA (tRNA) molecules are approximately 80 nucleotides in length. Their secondary structure includes four short double-helical elements and three loops (D, anti-codon, and T loops). Further hydrogen bonds mediate the characteristic L-shaped molecular structure. tRNAs have two regions of fundamental functional importance: the anti-codon, which is responsible for specific mRNA codon recognition, and the 3' end, to which the tRNAs corresponding amino acid is attached (by aminoacyl-tRNA synthetases). tRNAs cope with the degeneracy of the genetic code in two manners: having more than one tRNA (with a specific anti-codon) for a particular amino acid; and 'wobble' base-pairing, i.e. permitting non-standard base-pairing at the 3rd anti-codon position. Lineage: Eukaryota; Metazoa; Chordata; Mammalia; Rodentia; Cricetidae. The record is from Rfam by way of RNAcentral.